GUGGCCACAUCACGUUGAAACUCCGGUUCUCGUACGAUCACCGAAGUUAAGCAACGUCGAUCUUGGUUAAUGCCUAGAUGAGUGACCACUUGGGAAUGCUAGCUGUUGUAA
This is a non-coding RNA of Acanthosepion pharaonis, 111 nucleotides long. The record is from the annotation of a GenBank genome assembly. Lineage: Eukaryota; Metazoa; Mollusca; Cephalopoda; Sepiida; Sepiidae.